UAGGGAAUCUUCCGCAAUGGGCGAAAGCCUGACGGAGCAACGCCGCGUGAGUGAUGAAGGUCUUCGGAUCGUAAAACUCUGUUAUUAGGGAAGAACAAAUGUGUAAGUAACUAUGCACGUCUUGACGGUACCUAAUCAGAAAGCCACGGCUAACUACGUGCCAGCAGCCGCGGUAAUACGUAGGUGGCAAGCGUUAUCCGGAAUUAUUGGGCGUAAAGCGCGCGUAGGCGGUUUUUUAAGUCUGAUGUGAAAGCCCACGGCUCAACCGUGGAGGGUCAUUCGAAACUGGAAAACUUGAGUGCAGAAGAGGAAAGUGGAAUUCCGUGUGUAGCGGUGAAAUGCGCAGAGAUAUGGAGGAACACCAGUGGCGAAGGCGACUUUCUGGUCUGUAACUGACGCUGAUGUGCGAAAGCGUGGGGAUCAAACAGG
Molecule: ribosomal RNA, 429 nt
Filed under: Actinomycetes bacterium
Lineage: Bacteria; Bacillati; Actinomycetota; Actinomycetes
Description: Actinobacteria bacterium partial 16S ribosomal RNA
Rfam family: Bacterial small subunit ribosomal RNA
Source: RNAcentral